Strigops habroptila (Kakapo) is the source of this 1318-nucleotide long non-coding RNA. RefSeq lists it as uncharacterized. The transcript is spliced from 4 exons. The record is from RefSeq and is a predicted model, not a curated record. Lineage: Eukaryota; Metazoa; Chordata; Aves; Psittaciformes; Psittacidae.
UGGGUGAUUAAAGAGGAAGAAGGGAAGGGACAGAAGAAAGCAUUUUGAUGGCAGGAGUGGAAGGGCAAUCCAAAGUCAAUAAGGAAGAACCCAAACCAUGUGCUGCAGGACAUGUUGUGAACCUCCUGGUGGAAAAAUUGGACUUCUAAUGCCCCACAUCUUGCAGAUCUUUCCAAAAGCCAGGGGAAGAAUAUUUUGAUGAUGAGAAGAGAAUGUGGGAAAGAGGAAAGUGGGUGAGACGAUGUCAGAAAUGCUGAUGGAUUUAUUUCAAGGUUAUCUAGGAGUGAGGUGACACUGAUCCAGAAAACCCACAAUGAAAAUUGAGUUGAUUUGACUCAUCGCUACUACAGAAGAAAGAAAUCAGGACCCAUGGCAUAUUUUUUAACUUUUUCAUCGGGAAACACCCUAAAAGACUGGACAAAGUAAACAUUUCACACAUUGUUUUCUUGAGCUAUUUGUUUUGUUACAGUUGGGUUUCUGAGGCUGGGAGGACACAGAAUUAACUGUCAACACAAUCAUUACAUGAGGGAUGGAAGAAAGGGUGAUAAAGUGUGUUCCAUUAAAACUUCAGUGAUGAUUUUAGUGUGCCAGGCUGCAGUGAUCAGAAUUGGAACAUGACUAUGACACCUGAAAUCACUCCUGUUAGCAAGAUUCAGGGACAUUCAGGCUGGAAAACAUUUAAUCUAUCUUUGCUGACCUAAAAAUUAAGCAUUUAGUCUAAGCUUGAUUCUUCUAAUGUCAUGUUGAGAGAGCCACUCUAGGGAUGAUCCAUCCUCUCCUAAGACUAAGUGUCUUGACACUGCAAUUAUUUAUCUUUAUAAGCUAUAGGAGGAAGCUGAAUCUCUAGUUUAAAGUAGUCACUCACUUUUUAGGUGGCUCAUGUUGGACAAAAUGGAUUUAGACCUGACUCAGUUCUUCAGCUUUAUCCACGGCUGGAGGCCAGGAUAUUGCUCGGAUCUGACAUGGUGGCUUGGGUGAUAAAUCACUUCCUUUAAGGAGAAUCCACAAAUUUCCAUAUAGAUCUUUUGUCUAAUAGUCAAUUCUGUCCAACUCCCUAGAUGAGUAAUGCUGUAAGCCUUGCAGUGUUUUAAGCCUAUCUUUCUUUGUUCUUUCAAUAUAAAUUGCUAGAUGUGAACUGCUGCUUUAUUAUUGUGUAGUGAAAAAUAUUCUUUUUGGCUGUUUGAUGCUCUAUUUUCCUUACAGCAGUGAUGAAAAAUUGUAUAUGAGAUAAAGGCAGAAUUUACUGAAUGUAAGAAUUACUUUAUUAUUCACCACUAUUUAUUAUUUCUAGUGCAAUAAAACAGUAAUAUAACAAUAA